Talpa occidentalis (Iberian mole) is the source of this 1574-nucleotide long non-coding RNA. RefSeq lists it as uncharacterized. The transcript is spliced from 3 exons. NCBI's taxonomy places the organism in Eukaryota, Metazoa, Chordata, Mammalia, Eulipotyphla, Talpidae. The record is from RefSeq and is a predicted model, not a curated record.
CCGGAUCGAUACGUGUUUGUUUAGCAAAGAUCUCCGCUGACGUUCCCUCAGUUUUGAAGUCAGAAGCAUCCAGGCCCCUGACUGAUUUGGUUAUAAACACUCAUGUACCUCCAGAUCGCCUGGGGUCCCCUAGAAUGGCCAUUUACUUGCCUGGCCACUGACGCCCAGUACUUACUAUCCCUAUCAGGGUUUAGGGUCUUCACGGAGAUCUCAUUUCUUGGAAACCGGAUGCCUGGCCCACAAGGCCUGGUUUUGACUGGUCCAAAUGGGGGUCAAGAAUAUACAAAUGGCCUUAGAUGGAACGUCGUUCCUCACUUUGCAGUCCUGUAUGGUAGUCUCUGAGGGCUGCAUUAGCAAAACACCAGAGUGUUGUACACAACAGAAUUUUGUGUUAUCAUUUCUGGGGCCACUCAUCCCAAAUGAAGGUGUUGGUAGCACCAUACUCUCUCUGAGAGUGUGAGGAAGGGAUCUGUUCCAAGCCCUUCUUCUAGCUUCUAGAAGGUUCUCUAGCUUCUUGAAGGUUCUCCUAGCAUGUAGCAGCAUGGCUCCAGGCUUCAUGGCCUUCUCUUAUAUGUGUGUCUCUUUCUAAAUUACCUGUUUAGUGAGGAUUAGGCUCCCCCUGAACCCCAUUAUGAUCUCAUUUUCAUGAAUCCUAUCUGUAACAACCAUAUUUCCAAGUGAGGUCACAUUCUGAAGUGCUGGAGGUCAGACUUUCAACAUAGCUGUAGUCAGCCAAGUGGCUGCUGCAUAGAAGAUGAAUUCACACAUUCACCUUUCAGACCGUGUGGACAGAGGUGUGCUAGUCUGGCUUCUCCAGAGUGAAGAAUACUUCACCAUACCAGUCAUCUUUCCUCCGUGUCUUGUGUAUACAUGCAGCCUGCCUGCUGUUCCUCUCGGAGUGCAGGUCCCAAUCUCUCCCAACCUUUUCCUGACAUCAGGCCUGAUGAGGGGAUGCCCUCUCUCAGAGAACUGGCUCUCACCCAUGGCACCUACAUCCUAAAUGACACCAUGGACCUGUUCCACGGUCAGCCACGGUGGACUGGACUAAGGAUGCACCUGUGUCAUACCUGGUUAUUCCUGCACUUGCUUGUGACCUGUUGGGGUGCUCCAUCCCAAGAAUUUGGAAGAAGAGACACUCAGCAUAAGCUGUGGGUCCAGAGCAGAGGAGAAGGUGAUGUCAGAGCAAAGGGACACUGUGCCCUGUGUACACUGUACUCGCUCACCUGUGGACAGGAGAGGUGGAUGUGGCACCUGAGCCUGCUGACAUCAGCUGGUGGAGCAGGGAGAGCCCGGCACACACCCCAGGGGUGCACAAGUGAGCCUGCCAGUCAUGUCCUUGCUUCAGAGGCUCUGAGAAGACUUGUUCUUGACCUUCAAGGGCAGGGAUGGCAAAUUACAGCUGGCAGGUCAACUCUGGCUUAGGGUGUGUGUCUGUAAAUAAAGUUUUAUUGGAACACAGCCACUUCCCUUUGUUUAUGCACUUACUGUCUGUAACUACUUUUUUUUUUUAGCAUCUCUGGCACAAUGAGUAGUUGUAACAGGGUCCAGAAAGCCUAAAAUGUUUAGAAUUUCGA